UGAGUCCACAUGUUCACAUGAUUAAAGGUAUUCCGGUAGACGAUGGGGAUGCGUUCCAUUAGAUAGUAGGCGGGGUAACGGCCCACCUAGUCUUCGAUGGAUAGGGGUUCUGAGAGGAAGGUCCCCCACAUUGGAACUGAGACACGGUCCAAACUCCUACGGGAGGCAGCAGUGAGGAAUAUUGGUCAAUGGGCGAGAGCCUGAACCAGCCAAGUAGCGUGAAGGAUGACUGCCCUAUGGGUUGUAAACUUCUUUUAUAAAGGAAUAAAGUCGGGUAUGGAUACCCGUUUGCAUGUACUUUAUGAAUAAGGAUCGGCUAACUCCGUGCCAGCAGCCGCGGUAAUACGGAGGAUCCGAGCGUUAUCCGGAUUUAUUGGGUUUAAAGGGAGCGUAGAUGGGUGUUUAAGUCAGUUGUGAAAGUUUGCGGCUCAACCGUAAAAUUGCAGUUGAUACUGGAUAUCUUGAGUGCAGUUGAGGCAGGCGGAAUUCGUGGUGUAGCGGUGAAAUGCUUAGAUAUCACGAAGAACUCCGAUUGCGAAGGCAGCCUGCUAAGCUGCAACUGACAUUGAGGCUCGAAAGUGUGGGUAUCAAACAGGAUUAGAUACCCUGGUAGUCCACACGGUAAACGAUGAAUACUCGCUGUUUGCGAUAUACAGCAAGCGGCCAAGCGAAAGCGUUAAGUAUUCCACCUGGGGAGUACGCCGGCAACGGUGAAACUCAAAGGAAUUGACGGGG
RNAcentral lists this ribosomal RNA (735 nucleotides) under uncultured bacterium. RNAcentral's name for it is "bacterial SSU rRNA". It matches the Rfam family "Bacterial small subunit ribosomal RNA", at positions 164 to 918 of the family's 1533-position model. The record is from RNAcentral.